CAAAAUGUCAUCGAUGAACACCACGACAAACCUGUCUAAAUAAGGCUUGAAAACACGGUUCAUUAAAUCAAUAAAAGCUGACGGGGCAUUAGUAAGCCCAAACGGUAUAACGGUAAACUCAUAAUGUCCAUACCGUGUUCUAAAAGCCGUCUUCGACACAUCCUCAGGCUUGAUCUUCAACUGGUGAUAUCCCGACUGCAAGUCAAUCUUGGAAUAUACACAAGAUCCCUGGAGCUGAUCAAAUAGAUCAUCAAUCCUCGGUAAUGGAUACUUGUUCUUGAUCGUGACUUUAUUAAGUUCACGAUAGUCCACGCACAAGCGAAGUGAUCCAUCCUUCUUCUUCACAAACAAAACCGGUGCUCCCCAAGGUGACNUGCAAGUCAAUCUUGGAAUAUACACAAGAUCCCUGGAGCUGAUCAAAUAGAUCAUCAAUCCUCGGUAAUGGAUACUUGUUCUUGAUCGUGACUUUAUUAAGUUCACGAUAGUCCACGCACAAGCGAAGUGAUCCAUCCUUCUUCUUCACAAACAAAACCGGUGCUCCCCAAGGUGACACACUCGGUCGCACAAAACCCUUGUCCAGAAGAUUCUGCAACUAUGCCUUCAGCUCCUUCAAU
Molecule: long non-coding RNA, 614 nt
Filed under: Ananas comosus (pineapple)
Lineage: Eukaryota; Viridiplantae; Streptophyta; Magnoliopsida; Poales; Bromeliaceae
Description: long non-coding RNA (ACOM_LNC036629)
Source: RNAcentral